GAGUUUGAUCGUGGCUCAGAUUGAACGCUGGCGGCAUGCCUUACACAUGCAAGUCGAACGGCAGCAUGAUCUAGCUUGCUAGAUUGAUGGCGAGUGGCGAACGGGUGAGUAAUACAUCGGAACGUGCCCUGUAGUGGGGAUAACUAGUCGAAAGAUUAGCUAAUACCGCAUACGACCUGAGGGUGAAAGUGGGGGACCGCAAGGCCUCAUGCUAUAGGAGCGGCCGAUGUCUGAUUAGCUAGUUGGUGGGUAAAGGCCCACCAAGGCGACGAUCAGUAGCUGGUCUGAGAGGACGAUCAGCCACACUGGGACUGAGACACGGCCCAGACUCCUACGGGAGGCAGCAGUGGGGAAUUUUGGACAAUGGGCGAAAGCCUGAUCCAGCAAUGCCGCGUGUGUGAAGAAGGCCUCGGUUGUAAG
RNAcentral lists this ribosomal RNA (420 nucleotides) under uncultured microorganism. RNAcentral's name for it is "bacterial SSU rRNA". It matches the Rfam family "Bacterial small subunit ribosomal RNA", at positions 9 to 429 of the family's 1533-position model. The record is from RNAcentral.